CCUACGUGAGGCAGCAGUGAGGAAUAUUGGUCAAUGGCCGUAAGGCUGAACCAGCCAAGUAGCGUGAGGGAAGACUGCCCUAUGGGUUGUAAACCUCUUUUAUGCGGGGAUAAAGGUGUCCACGUGUGGAUGUUUGCAGGUACCGCAUGAAUAAGGACCGGCUAAUUCCGUGCCAGCAGCCGCGGUAAUACGGAAGGUCCGGGCGUUAUCCGGCUUUAUUGGGUUUAAAGGGAGCGUAGGCCGGUCUUUAAGCGUGCCGUGAAAUUUUGUGGCUCAACCAUGAGAGUGCGGCGCGAACUGGAGACCUUGAGUGCGCGGAAGGCAGGCGGAAUUCGUGGUGUAGCGGUGAAAUGCAUAGAUAUCACGAAGAACUCCGAUUGCGAAGGCAGCUUACCAGUCUGCGACUGACGCUCAGGCACGAAAGUGUGGGUAUCGAACAGGAUUAGAUACCCUUGUAGUC
RNAcentral lists this ribosomal RNA (460 nucleotides) under uncultured bacterium. Its description in RNAcentral is "partial 16S ribosomal RNA". It matches the Rfam family "Bacterial small subunit ribosomal RNA", at positions 338 to 795 of the family's 1533-position model. The record is from RNAcentral.